Molecule: transfer RNA, 69 nt
Filed under: Ophiogomphus cecilia
Lineage: Eukaryota; Metazoa; Arthropoda; Insecta; Odonata; Gomphidae
Description: tRNA-Cys
Rfam family: tRNA
About the family: Transfer RNA (tRNA) molecules are approximately 80 nucleotides in length.
Source: RNAcentral
GGCCAUAUAGUCAAAGUAAUGACAUUAGACUGCAAUUCUAAGAGUGUGGAUUAUUAUCUACUAAGGCUU